RNAcentral lists this ribosomal RNA (497 nucleotides) under uncultured bacterium. RNAcentral describes it as "partial 16S ribosomal RNA". It matches the Rfam family "Bacterial small subunit ribosomal RNA", at positions 28 to 507 of the family's 1533-position model. The record is from RNAcentral.
GAUGAACGCUGGCGGCGUGCCUAAUACAUGCAAGUCGAGCGAACAGACGAGGAGCUUGCUCCUCUGACGUUAGCGGCGGACGGGUGAGUAACACGUGGAUAACCUACCUAUAAGACUGGGAUAACUUCGGGAAACCGGAGCUAAUACCGGAUAAUAUAUUGAACCGCAUGGUUCAAUAGUGAAAGACGGUUCUGCUGUCACUUAUAGAUGGAUCCGCGCCGCAUUAGCUAGUUGGUAAGGUAACGGCUUACCAAGGCAACGAUGCGUAGCCGACCUGAGAGGGUGAUCGGCCACCCUGGAACUGAGACACGGUCCAGACUCCUACGGGAGGCAGCAGUAGGGAAUCUUCCGCAAUGGGCGAAAGCCUGACGGAGCAACGCCGCGUGAGUGAUGAAGGUCUUCGGAUCGUAAAACUCUGUUAUUAGGGAAGAACAAAUGUGUAAGUAACUAUGCACGUCUUGACGGUACCUAAUCAGAAAGCCACGGCUAACUACGUG